Molecule: ribosomal RNA, 393 nt
Filed under: uncultured bacterium
Lineage: Bacteria
Description: partial 16S ribosomal RNA
Rfam family: Bacterial small subunit ribosomal RNA
Source: RNAcentral
AUACGGAGGAUGCGAGCGUUAUCCGGAUUUAUUGGGUUUAAAGGGAGCGUAGGCGGGAGCUUAAGUCAGCGGUUAAAUGGUGCGGCUCAACCGUGCCCUGCCGUUGAAACUGGGUUUCUUGAGAGUGCAAGAGGCGGAUGGAAUUCAUGGUGUAGCGGUGAAAUGCUUAGAUAUCACUCAGAACACCGAUUGCGAAGGCAUCUGACGAACUGCCCACUGACGCUGAGGCACGAAAGCGUGGGGAUCAAACAGGAUUAGAUACCCUGGUAGUCCACGCAGUAAACGAUGAUGACUAACUGCCGGCCCGUUGCGGGUCGGUGGCCAAGCGAAAGCGAUAAGUCAUCCACCUGGGGAGUACGACCGCAAGGUUGAAACUCAAAUGAAUUGACGGGG